UCUCCGUUGGUGAACCAGCGGAGGGAUCAUUACCGAGUUUACAACUCCCAAACCCCUGUGAACAUACCUAUCGUUGCCUCGGCGGUGCCCGCUCCGGCGGCCCGCCAGAGGACCCCCAAACUCUUGUUUUAUACAGUAUCUUCUGAGUAACACGAUUAAAUAAAUCAAAACUUUCAACAACGGAUCUCUUGGUUCU
Molecule: unclassified non-coding RNA, 196 nt
Filed under: plant metagenome
Description: partial contains small subunit ribosomal RNA, internal transcribed spacer 1, and 5.8S ribosomal RNA
Source: RNAcentral